CACGUAGUUAGCCGUGGCUUUCUGAUUAGGUACCGUCAAGACGUGCAUAGUUACUUACACAUUUGUUCUUCCCUAAUAACAGAGUUUUACGAUCCGAAGACCUUCAUCAUUCACGCGGCGUUGCUCCGUCAGGCUUUCGCCCAUUGCGGAAGAUUCCCUACUGCUGCCUCCCGUAGGAGUCUGGACCGUGUCUCAGUUCCAGUGUGGCCGAUCACCCUCUCAGGUCGGCUACGCAUCGUUGCCUUGGUAAGCCGUUACCUUACCAACUAGCUAAUGCGGCGCGGAUCCAUCUAUAAGUGACAGCAAAACCGUCUUUCACUAUUGAACCAUGCGGUUCAAUAUAUUAUCCGGUAUUAGCUCCGGUUUCCCGAAGUUAUCCCAGUCUUAUAGGUAGGUUAUCCACGUGUUACUCACCCGUCCGCCGCUAACGUCAGAGGAGCAAGCUCCUCGUCUGUUCGCUCGACUUGCAUGUAUUAGGCACGCCGCCAGCGUUCAUCCUGAGCCA
Molecule: ribosomal RNA, 505 nt
Filed under: uncultured Staphylococcus sp.
Lineage: Bacteria; Bacillati; Bacillota; Bacilli; Caryophanales; Staphylococcaceae
Description: partial 16S ribosomal RNA
Source: RNAcentral